Molecule: ribosomal RNA, 486 nt
Filed under: uncultured bacterium
Lineage: Bacteria
Description: partial 16S ribosomal RNA
Rfam family: Bacterial small subunit ribosomal RNA
Source: RNAcentral
AUUGAACGCUGGCGGCAUGCCUUACACAUGCAAGUCGAACGGCAGCACGGGUGCUUGCACCUGGUGGCGAGUGGCGAACGGGUGAGUAAUACAUCGGAACAUGUCCUGUAGUGGGGGAUAGCCCGGCGAAAGCCGGAUUAAUACCGCAUACGAUCUACGGAUGAAAGCGGGGGCCCUUCGGGCCUCGCGCUAUAGGGUUGGCCGAUGGCUGAUUAGCUAGUUGGUGGGGUAAAGGCCUACCAAGGCGACGAUCAGUAGCUGGUCUGAGAGGACGACCAGCCACACUGGGACUGAGACACGGCCCAGACUCCUACGGGAGGCAGCAGUGGGGAAUUUUGGACAAUGGGCGAAAGCCUGAUCCAGCAAUGCCGCGUGUGUGAAGAAGGCCUUCGGGUUGUAAAGCACUUUUGUCCGGAAAGAAAUCCUUGGCCCUAAUACGGUCGGGGGAUGACGGUACCGGAAGAAUAAGCACCAGCUAACUACGUG